Molecule: long non-coding RNA, 1067 nt
Filed under: Monodelphis domestica (gray short-tailed opossum)
Lineage: Eukaryota; Metazoa; Chordata; Mammalia; Didelphimorphia; Didelphidae
Description: lncRNA (ENSMODG00000041127.1)
Source: RNAcentral
UCGUUCCACUGGAACUGCUCCUGUUAAUCUUCCCCUCCGGAUGGAAGUUGAAGUAGUGGCCUGUUUCCUCUAAGAGAAGUACCUGAAAUAGGACGAAAUGGGGAUGUGGUGACUUUAAGACAUAGGAUACCGUUUACUCCCCAAGAAAUAAAUGAAUUUACACGAAAUAUCCCCACAUAUGAACAAGAUCCUUUUCUAGUAACAAAAAAGAUGGGAGACAUAUUUUUUCAAUAUAAUCCGUCUUACAAGGACGUUGAGAGCUUACUACAGGCUUUUUUAAGUGAACGUGAAAAAAAUAAAAUAAUUGCUCAUGUCAACAAAACCCGGGGGCGUAAUGCAGCACAUUGGCCAUCUCAGGAUCCCGAAUGGGACUAUAAUAAUCCUGAGGACUAUCUACAACUAUACCGUUGUAGAGAGGCCAUCCUCACGGCCAUGAAGGAAUGUGCGGACAGUACAGAUAAGUGGAUGGAACUGGAAAAAAUUAAGCAAAAGGAAAACGAAACACCCUCCAGAUUUAUGGACAGAAUUAUCGAGUUUGGGGACAGAUACUUAGAUUGGGACUUAAAUAAAGAGAAUAGUUUAAGACAAGUUAGAAGAAUCUUUGUAAAUAAUUCUUGCAAAGUAAUUAAAAAUUAUUUUAAAACACAAUGCCCAAGAUGGUCAGAUAUGGACCUUGAAGAAUUGCGAAAAACAGCUAUAUAUGUUUUUAAGGGAAACGAAGAAAAGGAGAAAGAGAAUAAUGAUGACAUGGAGGAAAUGAAGAAAAAAAUGAGAUGUGUAAUAGAUAGGAUAACUAAAUUAGAAAGUGGGCAUGAUAAUGAACCAACGACAAUUGCCCCUCUCCAGAAAUCCAAUUAUCAAUCCAUUACUUGCCACUUCUGUGAGAAGAAGGGCCACAAAAUGAUGGAAUGUAGAACCUUUCUUAAGAUGUUUGGAAGGAAUUACAUAGCUGAUUCCUUGGCGACCUUAAAUUAAUAUAUAUCAGUCUUUUAAAGUGAUUCCCUUGUAACAGAGGGGAAGGGGGGGGGGAAGAAAAUGAUUUUUGUUUCCAAUGAAUAAUGUUUGUA